GCCUCAGUAGCUCAGUGGCAGAGCGCGUCCUUGGUAAGGACGAGGCCGCGAGUUCAAAUCUCGCCUGAGGCU
Molecule: transfer RNA, 72 nt
Filed under: Candidatus Burarchaeum sp.
Lineage: Archaea; Nanobdellati; Microcaldota; Candidatus Micrarchaeia; Candidatus Burarchaeales; Candidatus Burarchaeaceae
Description: tRNA-Thr
Rfam family: tRNA
About the family: Transfer RNA (tRNA) molecules are approximately 80 nucleotides in length.
Source: RNAcentral